RNAcentral lists this ribosomal RNA (253 nucleotides) under uncultured bacterium. RNAcentral describes it as "partial 16S ribosomal RNA". It matches the Rfam family "Bacterial small subunit ribosomal RNA", at positions 524 to 776 of the family's 1533-position model. The record is from RNAcentral.
UACGUAGGGUGCGAGCGUUGUCCGGAAUUACUGGGCGUAAAGAGCUCGUAGGUGGUUUGUCGCGUUGUCCGUGAAAACUCACAACUCAAUUGUGGGCGUGCGGGCGAUACGGGCAGACUGGAGUACUGCAGGGGAGACUGGAAUUCCUGGUGUAGCGGUGGAAUGCGCAGAUAUCGGGAGGAACACCAGUGGCGAAGGCGGCACUCUGGGCCAGUAUUGACGCUGAGGAGCGAAAGCGUGGGGAGCGAACAGG